UACGUAGGGUGCGAGCGUUGUCCGGAAUUACUGGGCGUAAAGAGCUCGUAGGUGGUUUGUCGCGUCGUCUGUGAAAUUCCGGAGCUUAACUUCGGGCGUGCAGGCGAUACGGGCAAUACUUGAGUGCUGUAGGGGAGACUGGAAUUCCUGGUGUAGCGGUGGAAUGCGCAGAUAUCGGGAGGAACACCGAUGGCGAAGGCAGGUCUCUGGGCAGUAACUGACGCUGAGGAGCGAAAGCAUGGGUAGCGAACAGGAUUAGA
This 260-nucleotide ribosomal RNA is filed under the name uncultured prokaryote. Its description in RNAcentral is "partial 16S ribosomal RNA". It matches the Rfam family "Bacterial small subunit ribosomal RNA", at positions 524 to 782 of the family's 1533-position model. The record is from RNAcentral.